GUUUUCUUUUUUCGUUUAACGUUUGGUUCCGCUUUUUUUCCGGCGCUUUAUUAAUUCUAUUAAUUUGUUCCGUCAGAUACUUUAUAUGAUCUAACCUAUCUUUUAUCAUUCCGUCAACUUUUGCGCGUAUUUGUCGUCUCAAGAGAUAUGGACUAACUGUUCCUGUUGGCUGGGAUACUGACCGUUCAUCUACCGUAAGGAUGUCGUUUACUACGACUCCUGGUUGCGAGCCGCAACCAGGAGUCGUAGUAAACGACACCCUUUUUGAUCAGGUCCCUCCCGUCUGCCAGCGGGUGUCGCGACCGUGGCCCCUCCCCUGAGAGAGACAUGGGUAACUCCCAAUUGUGGACCUUCCCUACGUUAACGCAGUUUUUGUUCGCAUUAGCGCUACCUUCUUUAUUCAUGUCGGUCUUUACCCUUGGUCGAGUCUGGGAGUUCGACGGUUCAUUAUCUAUGUCGUUUUCAUCAUCGCUCCCAUGCGGAAAAUUUAAGACUAACGAUUCAUUUACAGUUCGUACUUUUGUAAGUCUGUCAAUAUGUAUAAUUUGUUUUUUACGAGGUGAGUUUAUUAAUUGAAUCUCGACAUUUAUUGGUGACAGU
RNAcentral lists this long non-coding RNA (600 nucleotides) under Androctonus crassicauda. The record is from RNAcentral. Lineage: Eukaryota; Metazoa; Arthropoda; Arachnida; Scorpiones; Buthidae.